Long non-coding RNA from Rhinolophus ferrumequinum (greater horseshoe bat), 500 nucleotides. RefSeq lists it as uncharacterized. The record is from RefSeq and is a predicted model, not a curated record. The transcript has 3 exons. NCBI's taxonomy places the organism in Eukaryota, Metazoa, Chordata, Mammalia, Chiroptera, Rhinolophidae.
GAGGGGGGUGCACAGCAGUCCUCGGUGAUGGAACAAGACAAGAAAUGCCUCCAGCGUCCUUCCUGAGGGACAGAAGGCCUCUUGGCACCUAGCACACGCCUUCCAGCCAGGCCAGCUGGAUUCAAUAGAACUAGUUCAAGCCUCCACCUACAGAUUGGAUGGAAUUCCAGGAUCACAAACAUGCACUUUCGUAUCCUCUCCUGGAUCAUCUAGGGAUCCUGGAAAACUCCACCACAGUCUUCUUCCAAGCACUGUUGCUGCGAUGGACCUAGAUCUUUGGAAUGCCUGGCAAGCAGGAGGCCCUCUUCCCAGAUAGUUCAGCAGCUCAUUUUGUGGUCUUGAAUCAGGGCCACAGCACACAGUUGUGAAAGCAGCCCAUUGCACAACUUCAAGAGUGGGAUGGCUGGGUCAGAGGGCAGAUGUACACUUAAUUUCACGAAGAAACUGAUGGUUUUCCAGGAUGACUGUACCAGUUUGCACUCCCAUUUGCCACUCCCUGU